Molecule: ribosomal RNA, 464 nt
Filed under: Vreelandella stevensii
Lineage: Bacteria; Pseudomonadati; Pseudomonadota; Gammaproteobacteria; Oceanospirillales; Halomonadaceae
Description: partial 16S ribosomal RNA
Rfam family: Bacterial small subunit ribosomal RNA
Source: RNAcentral
CUACGGGUGGCUGCAGUGGGGAAUAUUGGACAAUGGGCGAAAGCCUGAUCCAGCCAUGCCGCGUGUGUGAAGAAGGCCUUCGGGUUGUAAAGCACUUUCAGUGGGGAAGAAAGCCUUGGGGCUAAUACCCUCGAGGAAGGACAUCACCCACAGAAGAAGCACCGGCUAACUCCGUGCCAGCAGCCGCGGUAAUACGGAGGGUGCGAGCGUUAAUCGGAAUUACUGGGCGUAAAGCGCGCGUAGGCGGUCUGAUAAGCCGGUUGUGAAAGCCCCGGGCUCAACCUGGGAACGGCAUCCGGAACUGUCAGGCUAGAGUGCAGGAGAGGAAGGUAGAAUUCCCGGUGUAGCGGUGAAAUGCGUAGAGAUCGGGAGGAAUACCAGUGGCGAAGGCGGCCUUCUGGACUGACACUGACGCUGAGGUGCGAAAGCGUGGGUAGCAAACAGGAUUAGAUACCCUAGUAGUC